CCUACGGGUGGCAGCAGUGAGGAAUAUUGGGCAAUGGGCGGAAGCCUGAACCAGCCAAGUAGCGUGAAGGAUGACGGCCCUACGGGGUGUAAACUGCUGUUAUACGGGAAUAACGCGCAUUACGUGUAGGGCUUUGCAUGUACCGUAUGAAUAAGGACCGGCUAACGCCGUGCCAGCAGCCGCGGUAAUACGGAGGGGCCGGGCGUUAUCCGGAUUUAUUGGGUUGAAAGGGAGCGUAGGGCGCGUGUCAAGAGUGCUGUGAAAGUUCCUGGCUCAACCCGGGCCUUGCAGCGCGAACUGGCGUCCUUGAGUCCGCGAGAAGUAGGCGGAAUUCGUCGUGUAGCGGU
This 347-nucleotide ribosomal RNA is filed under the name uncultured bacterium. Its description in RNAcentral is "partial 16S ribosomal RNA". It matches the Rfam family "Bacterial small subunit ribosomal RNA", at positions 338 to 682 of the family's 1533-position model. The record is from RNAcentral.